CCUGUCUUAAACCCAGUCCUUAAUAUCCUCUGCGGUAUGGUUAAAAAAUUGUUCUAAUAGGAGGAGUUGUAACGCAUCCUCCAGAGUGGUUGCUUGGCAGCCCUUCAUCCAAUUUCGGGCUGCCCUGUGUAGCCGGAAUGCCCAUUCAGUAUGGGUAUCCCUCCCUGUUUUCCUCAGUUCCCUGAAUUUCUUUCUGUAUGCCUCAGGGGUAACCGCAUACCUAGCCAACAAAAUGUCUUUUAUCUUCCCAUAAUUGUGAAUAUCCUCAUCAGGUACUGCUCGUGCUGCUUCUGAUGCUCUGCCUGACAACUUGUUGCUCAGUACUGCAGCCCAUUUGGUGGAGUCUAAUCCCUCCAGUGCACAUUGCCUUUCAAAGUCUUGCAGAUAACUAUCAAUCUCCAUUUCAUUGUCAUUAAAGUUUUUAAAUGCAGCAUAAUUUACCUUUUUCCGCAUGUCAUUUGUACUUCCCGGGGAGUGUAGCAAAUCUCCCUGUAGUAGUCUGUCAUCUCGCUCCUUCUGUGCUUGCCUUGCUUGUGCCAUGACCUGCAGCAUCGCCUCUGUUGCUGGAUUAGGUCCCAAUAAACUGAGCAUCCAUCUGAUGUCC
Non-coding RNA from Pelobates cultripes (western spadefoot toad), 604 nucleotides. Lineage: Eukaryota; Metazoa; Chordata; Amphibia; Anura; Pelobatidae. The record is from the annotation of a GenBank genome assembly.